This 1439-nucleotide long non-coding RNA is filed under the name Piliocolobus tephrosceles (Ugandan red Colobus). RNAcentral describes it as "lncRNA (ENSPTEG00000002782.1)". The record is from RNAcentral. Lineage: Eukaryota; Metazoa; Chordata; Mammalia; Primates; Cercopithecidae.
AUUAUUGAACAAUGCCAUAACAUUUGACAAAAAAAAAUUUAUAUAUAACUACAAAAAAAUAUUAUUAAAGAAUGACGGACAUAUUGGUUAUAAACAGUUGGAUAAUGAUUCGGCAAAUGUACAAAAUCGGGAGGAAGUAAAAGGGCAUUGUAAAUUGGCUAUUCAUAAGAAUAUGUUAGGUGAUAGUACCGUCCCUAGUGGAAACGCCACACCAAGUAAUAAUACCUUAGCAAGUGAUAGGACAAGCACAUCUAACCACAAGGACUCAUGCACGGAUUUAUUACUAAACAAAAAUAAUAGCACGCAAACGUACGCGAAUGACGAAUACAAAUAUAAUAACGAUGAAUACGAUAAUAUUAUACAAUAUUUAUCACAGGUACAUGCAGAUGAAAAUACGUUUGAUUUAUGUGGAUCUAAUAUGUAUAAACAGGAAAACAUAUAUGAAAUAGAGUACGAGGAUGACGAAGCAUAUAGUGAAUAUGUUUAUAAUAGAAAAAAAGAAAUCGAGAUCAAUAGGAAUAUGGUGCAUAAGACGAAUAUAACAGAAGAUUAUAUGUUAACUGGUUACUUUCCAAAUAGUUAUUUUUUUUUUUGUUUUAAAAAUCGAGUUUUGACGAUAAAAAAACAGUUAUCCCUAAACAAUUUAUGUUCGUUUAUCUAUUUAUAUAAUAAGAUACAGAAUAUUGAAAUGGCUCGAAUAUUAGGUGAAGAGUAUAUAAAUAGAUACAAAAUAGAAAAGGAUAAAAUAAUAAAUUAUAAACAUAUUAUACACUUAUUAAAUAUAUAUAUAAAAAUAAAUUACAAAGAAAAUAAUGUGAAUCAUAUUGUUGAAGGUUUGAUUAAACAAUUAUAUCAAGACGUUUCUUUGUAUGAUUUGAAAUUAGCAACAUUAGGUUUUGUAUGUUUAUCUAAGUUAAAUUUAUUUAAUAUAAUGUUUUAUGAUUAUAUUGGUUUAUUUCUAACAAAUAUAAAUACAUGUCGUUCUUCUUUUUCAACAUUUUAUUUUUCACUAGUCUUACAUUGUAUAGGUUAUUAUAGACAUGAUUUAUUAAUAAAAAAAAAAAAAGUGUUACAUACGAUGCGGUUAAUUAAAAGUUUACACAGGUAUGAUACAUAUAGUAGCAAAGAAGAUGCAGAAAAGAAUUAUGCGAGUAAAAAUGUUGAAAUGGUAAAUAAGAUCAAAAGGGAAGGUAGACAAAAAAAAAAAUAUAUUGAAAAAUAUAUUGAAAAGUAUAAUAGUAAUAAUAAUGAUAAAAAACGUGAUACUAUAGUAAUAUUACCAUCUUUGGAAGAAGAAAAAAAAAAAAAAAAAAGUUUAGCACUAAACCAGGAAAAAACGAAAAAAGUAAAUGUAAGAAACUAUGUUUUAGAAAACACAAAAAUAAACUGUUUUACUUUUUUAUUACAUAAAAAUAAUAGUCAAAAAAUAAACGAAUUAG